This 558-nucleotide ribosomal RNA is filed under the name uncultured fungus. Its description in RNAcentral is "eukaryotic LSU rRNA". The stretch from base 220 to 373 matches the Rfam family "5.8S ribosomal RNA". The record is from RNAcentral. Lineage: Eukaryota; Fungi.
GGAAGUAAAAGUCGUAACAAGGUCUCCGUAGGUAAACCUGCGGAGGGAUCAUUACACAAAUAUGAAGGCGGGCUGGAACCUCUCGGGGUUACAGCCUUGCUGAAUUAUUCACCCUUGUCUUUUGCGUACUUCUUGUUUCCUUGGUGGGUUCGCCCACCACUAGGACAAACAUAAACCUUUUGUAAUUGCAAUCAGCGUCAGUAACAAAUUAAUAAUUACAACUUUCAACAACGGAUCUCUCGGUUCUGGCAUCGAUGAAGAACGCAGCGAAAUGCGAUAAGUAGUGUGAAUUGCAGAAUUCAGUGAAUCAUCGAAUCUUUGAACGCACAUUGCGCCCUUUGGUAUUCCAAAGGGCAUGCCUGUUCGAGCGCCAUUUGUACCCUCAAGCUUUGCUUGGUGUUGGGCGUCUUGUCUCUAGCUUUGCUGGAGACUCGCCUUAAAGUAAUUGGCAGCCGGCCUACUGGUUUCGGAGCGCAGCACAAGUCGCACUCUCUAUCAGCAAAGGUCUAGCAUCCAUUAAGCCUUUUUUUCAACUUUUGACCUCGGAUCAGGUAGGGA